RNAcentral lists this ribosomal RNA (450 nucleotides) under uncultured bacterium. RNAcentral's name for it is "partial 16S ribosomal RNA". It matches the Rfam family "Bacterial small subunit ribosomal RNA", at positions 354 to 796 of the family's 1533-position model. The record is from RNAcentral.
GUGGGGAAUAUUGGACAAUGGGCGAAAGCCUGAUCCAGCCAUGCCGCGUGUGUGAAGAAGGUCUUCGGAUUGUAAAGCACUUUAAGUUGGGAGGAAGGGCAUUAACCUAAUACGUUAGUGUUUUGACGUUACCGACAGAAUAAGCACCGGCUAACUUCGUGCCAGCAGCCGCGGUAAUACGAAGGGUGCAAGCGUUAAUCGGAAUUACUGGGCGUAAAGCGCGCGUAGGUGGUUCGUUAAGUUGGAUGUGAAAGCCCCGGGCUCAACCUGGGAAAUGCAUCCAAAACUGGCGAGCUAGAGUACGGUAGAGGGUGGUGGAAUUUCCUGUGUAGCGGUGAAAUGCGUAGAUAUAGGAAGGAACACCAGUGGCGAAGGCGACCACCUGGACUGAUACUGACACUGAGGUGCGAAAGCGUGGGGAGCAAACAGGAUUAGAAACCCCAGUAGUCC